Molecule: ribosomal RNA, 453 nt
Filed under: uncultured bacterium
Lineage: Bacteria
Description: bacterial SSU rRNA
Rfam family: Bacterial small subunit ribosomal RNA
Source: RNAcentral
UACGGGAGGCAGCAGUGGGGAAUAUUGCACAAUGGGCGCAAGCCUGAUGCAGCCAUGCCGCGUGUAUGAAGAAGGCCUUCGGGUUGUAAAGUACUUUCAGUCGUGAGGAAGGUGUUAAGGUUAAUAACCUUAGCAAUUGACGUUAGCGACAGAAGAAGCACCGGCUAACUCCGUGCCAGCAGCCGCGGUAAUACGGAGGGUGCGAGCGUUAAUCGGAAUUACUGGGCGUAAAGGGCACGCAGGCGGUUAAUAAGUUGGAUGUGAAAUCCCCGGGCUUAACCUGGGAAUGGCAUUCAAGACUGGUUAGCUAGAGUCUUGUAGAGGGGGUAGAAUUCCAUGUGUAGCGGUGAAAUGCGUAGAGAUGUGGAGGAAUACCGGGUGGCGAAGGCGGCCCCUGGGACAAAGACUGACGCUCAUGUGCGAAAGCGUGGGGAGCAAACAGGGAUUAGAUAC